CUUCCUCCCUACUCCCUCUAGACUUUUACGUGUAAGUGCAAAACCUUAAAGGUCAAUAUUUCUUGACAAAUGUCACAAGCAACUCACCCAUUUGAGAUUACUCAUCAAGUGCAAAAGCACCCGGUUUAGUUACUUCUCUCACAAAAGCUUCCAUGGUUUUCAUUUGGAGGUUUUGCAAAACCAUUAGCAUGAGCUCAUGGCUUACGUGAUUCCUCUCCUCAAAACUCCCUAUAAAUACUCAUGAAACCUGGCCAUAAAACUCACCCAACCAAGCACCAAGUCACAGAAAAAUAAGCACAAGGAAUUAGCUAUAAUUCCCGUAACUAUCCCCUGUUUUCGCGCAUCACCACCACCGUCACCACCGCGGCUCUGCCGCCGGCCAACCUGAUACAACCACCCUCAAAAUUUUCUGUUAUCCACCCCUGGAAUAUGCUCAUUCACUACUCACAAAUAUCAAGCUCGAAUUGUAGCAUUCCAUUGCCGAAACCGAACAUUAACUCACGCACAACCUCUUUUCUCUCUCUCCAUUGACGCGGACCACCACCGCCAAACCACCGGCGAAAACCUUAUCCGACCACUUGACCACCUCCUUGUUGCCGCCUUGUGCUUCCUCUGCUUUCGUGGGUCAUACGAGUCAUACCUAGUUGCUGUCUUCCUUCCUCCUUCCUUUUCUCUUGGUUCAUGUUCUGUUCAUGAAGACCAAGUUUGGUCUUUCAACUUCCUAAAUUUUUGGAACUAGUGGGCCUAUAUUCUAAGUCAAAAGGUCAAACCCAAUAACAAUCAAGAAAGCCAAGUUGGACGAAUAUUCAAUUUUGGAGCUCAGGAAGAACGGCCCAUCGAACGGGAAGUAUAAAAUUACGGUUGAGGUACGAAGAAGAUCAUGGGAUGCCUUAGAGUGAGGAUAGCACCAUCAAAUUCACGAUCGAUGUUUAGUAAAGAUAACUAUGUCAUUAGUAAUAAAGGGAUGUAUUAAUUAAGCUCUAAGUUUGAUUUUAUGAUUUGAGUUAGAUUUUAAUAUUUAUAUUUAAUCAAUGUUAGGAAUAUUUAUUAAAGUUCAUUUAGAUUUCGAUGUAAAUAUUUAAGAAUUAAUCGAAGUGAAGUAUAAUUACUGUUACUCAA
Molecule: long non-coding RNA, 1119 nt
Organism: Spinacia oleracea (spinach)
Lineage: Eukaryota; Viridiplantae; Streptophyta; Magnoliopsida; Caryophyllales; Amaranthaceae
Exons: 2
Source: RefSeq, a predicted model, not a curated record